RNAcentral lists this ribosomal RNA (253 nucleotides) under uncultured bacterium. RNAcentral describes it as "partial 16S ribosomal RNA". It matches the Rfam family "Bacterial small subunit ribosomal RNA", at positions 524 to 776 of the family's 1533-position model. The record is from RNAcentral.
UACGAAGGUGGCAAGCGUUGUUCGGAUUUACUGGGCGUACAGGGAGCGUAGGCGGUUCGGUAAGCCCUUUGUGAAAUCUCCAGGCUUAACCUGGAACAGUCGGAGGGGACUGCCGGGCUAGAGGACGGGAGAGGAGCGCGGAAUUCCCGGUGUAGCGGUGAAAUGCGUAGAGAUCGGGAGGAAGGCCGGUGGCGAAAGCGGAUUGCUGGUCCUUUUCUGACGCUGAGGCGCGAAAGCCAGGGGAGCAAACGGG